Molecule: ribosomal RNA, 162 nt
Filed under: uncultured bacterium
Lineage: Bacteria
Description: partial 16S ribosomal RNA
Rfam family: Bacterial small subunit ribosomal RNA
Source: RNAcentral
GGGAAUAUUGGACAAUGGGCGAAAGCCUGAUCCAGCCAUGCCGCGUGUGUGAAGAAGGUCUUCGGAUUGUAAAGCACUUUAAGUUGGGAGGAAGGGCAGUAAGUUAAUACCUUGCUGUUUUGACGUUACCGACAGAAUAAGCACCGGCUAACUCUGUGCCAG